This 254-nucleotide ribosomal RNA is filed under the name uncultured bacterium. RNAcentral describes it as "partial 16S ribosomal RNA". It matches the Rfam family "Bacterial small subunit ribosomal RNA", at positions 524 to 776 of the family's 1533-position model. The record is from RNAcentral.
UACGGGGGGGGGCAAGCGUUGUUCGGAAUUACUGGGCGUAAAGGGCUCGUAGGUGGUCAACUAAGUCAUACGUGAAAUCCCUCGGCUUAACCGGGGAACUGCGUCUGAUACUGGAUGGCUUGAGUUUGGGAGAGGGAUGCGGAAUUCCAGGUGUAGCGGUGAAAUGCGUAGAUAUCUGGAGGAACACCGGUGGCGAAGGCGGCAUCCUGGACCAACACUGACGCUGAUGAGCGAAAGCUAGGGGAGCAAACGGG